RNAcentral lists this ribosomal RNA (436 nucleotides) under uncultured bacterium. RNAcentral describes it as "partial 16S ribosomal RNA". It matches the Rfam family "Bacterial small subunit ribosomal RNA", at positions 341 to 792 of the family's 1533-position model. The record is from RNAcentral.
ACGGGAGGCAGCAGUGGGGAAUAUUGGGCAAUGGGGGAAACCCUGACCCAGCAACGCCGCGUGGAGGAAGAAGGUUUUCGGAUCGUAAACUCCUGUCCUGAAAGACGAGAAGAAGACGGUAUUUCAGGAGGAAGCCCCGGCUAACUACGUGCCAGCAGCCGCGGUAAUACGUAGGGGGCAAGCGUUGUCCGGAAUGACUGGGCGUAAAGGGCGUGUAGGCGGCCGAUUAAGUCUGAAGUGAAAGUCCUGCUUUCAAGGUGGGAAUUGCUUUGGAGACUGGUUGGCUUGAGUGCGGAAGAGGUAAGUGGAAUUCCCAGUGUAGCGGUGAAAUGCGUAGAGAUUGGGAGGAACACCAGUGGCGAAGGCGACUUACUGGGCCGUAACUGACGCUGAGGCGCGAAAGCGUGGGUAGCAAACAGGAUUAGAUACCCUGGUA